UUCCUAUGCACAUACUUCUUUGAGAUUUAACUUUAAAGAGGCAUAAGGCAUGGGAAAAU
This is a microRNA precursor of Astatotilapia calliptera (eastern happy), 59 nucleotides long. NCBI's taxonomy places the organism in Eukaryota, Metazoa, Chordata, Actinopteri, Cichliformes, Cichlidae. The record is from Ensembl.